GAAAGAAUGAGAUUGAUAUUACCAUUGUGCGUUUUCCAAAGAUUCUUCACUACACAAAAACCUCGCAUAUGUCUCGCUAAAUUCUUCUUAUUCUUCAGUCCUCGCUUGAGUCGGAAAAAGUCUUUCAGCAAUGAAAACUUGGAUUCACACAUGUUUUUACCAAAUGAUACUGCUUGGCCAAGAAAGCAUUGAGUUAUUCAUCUUGGGGGACCUGCUUUUGUCAAGAGUUGGUUGAGGGGUGUCCCCUCUUUAAAGGAUAAUGCGGUUUUUGGAAAGUUUCAAUACUUUUAGUUAACAUUAUCAAG
RNAcentral lists this ribosomal RNA (305 nucleotides) under Fervidobacterium pennivorans. Its description in RNAcentral is "partial 23S ribosomal RNA". The record is from RNAcentral. Lineage: Bacteria; Thermotogati; Thermotogota; Thermotogae; Thermotogales; Fervidobacteriaceae.